GAUGAACGCUGGCGGCGUGCCUAAUACAUGCAAGUCGAGCGGACGGACGAGAAGCUUGCGUCUCUGAUGUUAGCGGCGGACGGGUGAGUAACACGUGGAUAACCUACCUAUAAGACUGGGAUAACUUCGGGAAACCGGAGCUAAUACCGGAUGAUAUUUUGAACCGCAUGGUUCAAAAGUGAAAGACGGUCUUGCUGUCACUUAUAGAUGGAUCCGCGCUGCAUUAGCUGGUUGGUAAGGUAACGGCUUACCAAGGCAACGAUGCAUAGCCGACCUGAGAGAGUGAUCGGCCACCCUGGAACUGGGACACGGUCCAGACUACUACGGGAGGCAGCAGUAGGGAAUCUUCCGCAAUGGGCGAAAGCCUGACGGAGCAACGGCGCGUGGGUGAUGAAGGUCUUCGGAUCGUAAAACUCUGUUAUUAGGGAAGAACAUAUGUGUAAGUAACUGUGCACAUCUUGACGGUACCUAAUCAGAAAGCCACGGCUAACUACGUG
This 497-nucleotide ribosomal RNA is filed under the name uncultured bacterium. Its description in RNAcentral is "partial 16S ribosomal RNA". It matches the Rfam family "Bacterial small subunit ribosomal RNA", at positions 28 to 507 of the family's 1533-position model. The record is from RNAcentral.